UACGAGGGGUCCUAGCGUUGUUCGGAAUCAUUGGGCGUAAAGGGAGCGUAGGUGGCUAUUCAAGUCAGUUGUGAAAUCCCCGGGCUUAACCCGGGAAGUGCUUCUGAUACUGUUUAGCUUGAGUACUGGAGAGGAUAGUAGAAUUCCUGGUGUAGUGGUGAAAUACGUAGAUAUCAGGAGGAAUACCGGUGGCGAAGGCGGCUAUCUGGCCAUGUACUGACACUGAAGCUCGAAAGCGUGGGGAGCAAACAGG
This 253-nucleotide ribosomal RNA is filed under the name uncultured bacterium. RNAcentral's name for it is "partial 16S ribosomal RNA". It matches the Rfam family "Bacterial small subunit ribosomal RNA", at positions 524 to 776 of the family's 1533-position model. The record is from RNAcentral.